Molecule: ribosomal RNA, 481 nt
Filed under: uncultured bacterium
Lineage: Bacteria
Description: partial 16S ribosomal RNA
Rfam family: Bacterial small subunit ribosomal RNA
Source: RNAcentral
GAUGAACGCUGGCGGCGUGCUUAACACAUGCAAGUCGAACGAAGCAUUUGCGACAGAUUUUUUCGGAAUGAAGUUGCUUAUGACUGAGUGGCGGACGGGUGAGUAACGCGUGGGUAACCUGCCUUGUACUGGGGGAUAGCAGCUGGAAACGGCUGGUAAUACCGCAUAAGCGCACAAUGUUGCAUGACAUGGUGUGAAAAACUCCUGUGGUAUAAGAUGGACCCGCGUCUGAUUAGCUAGUUGGUGAGAUAACAGCCCACCAAGGCGACGAUCAGUAGCCGACCUGAGAGGGUGACCGGCAACAUUGGGACUGAGACACGGCCCAGACUCCUACGGGAGGCAGCAGUGGGGAAUAUUGCACAAUGGAGGAAACUCUGAUGCAGCGACGCCGCGUGAGUGAAGAAGUAAUUCGUUAUGUAAAGCUCUAUCAGCAGGGAAGAUAGUGACGGUACCUUACUAAGAAGCUACGGCUAAAUACGUG